AUAGAAUCAGAUUCUUUGGCUUUGGUUAAUAUUGUAAGAAAUGUGUGACAGAUCCCAUGGGAAAUGAUUGAAGCAAUAGAAGAAAUAAGAAACCUGAUGUCUAAUAUAAAUGCUACAAUCACAUACAUUUACAGGGAGGAGAAUACAUUUGUAGAUUAUCUAGCUAAUCUAGCUACUCAAUCAGAACAUACAAAAACAUUCAACAAAUUUUAGCAAUUACCACCAGUAGAAAGGAAGAUUUUUAAUAUGGAUAAGAUGCAAAUUCCUAAUUUGAGAAUUAACUAAGAUGAUAAAUCUAUAUUAAAAAAUGUUCGGCCUAUGCAACACAUGCAAAAUGUAGAUUCUGAGCAGCAAAGGCAUUUACAGUGAACUAAAUCCUUAUACAAGGACCAACACUGCUGCUAAAUACGAUAGCCAAAUCUAUGUUAGCUCACAAAAACUAUCACCAAAAACAAAGGAGAAAUGCGUCAUAUAUGUCCAUUGGCCUAGGAGGUCUGUCAUAAGCCUAUAUUAGCAAUGGAUCCAUCAUCUUCAAUGCAUAUCUAAUAGAAAAAGGAAGAGAAGAUUUUUAUCUUAGAUUCAAAGUGAUAAUGAAGAGCAGAAAGGUUACUUAUGGAUGAACUGCAAACCUUGGACGUUUCCCCUUUCUCUUUCACUCCAGAAACAACCCCACCACCUGAAACUUGGUAGAGUUUGUAAAGUGGAUAGGUGUAAAGACAAAUCUCUACAAAUGUUACCUUUGUUUUUUGACAACCUUUUUUGUGAAAAAGACACACAACACAAGGAUGGAACAAUAUUUAUCACCCACAGAAGAAGUAGAAUCAGUUUGGAAUUAAGGCGGCAACAUCUUAGAAGCACGUUGAAGGUGGAGAGGCGACCAAAGAUGGAAAUGGAAAUAAUAGGAAUUUCUUACAUUUUUAUAGCUAGGUCAAAUAGGAAAUUGGGCUUGACCUGCAAUAAUUUUCAGGAUUUGUUUUCUUUUUGGCAUUGGGCCAUAAACUUUUUUUGUUUUAUUGAUUAUUAAUAAAAUGGCUGCAAAGCCACAAAAAUUUCC
RNAcentral lists this long non-coding RNA (1054 nucleotides) under Capsicum annuum. RNAcentral describes it as "long non-coding RNA (CANN_LNC011923)". Lineage: Eukaryota; Viridiplantae; Streptophyta; Magnoliopsida; Solanales; Solanaceae. The record is from RNAcentral.